ACGGGUGAGUAAUACAUCGGAACGUAUCCUGGAGUGGGGGAUAGCCCAGCGAAAGCCGGAUUAAUACCGCAUACGCUCUGAGGAGGAAAGCGGGGGACCUUCGGGCCUCGCGCUCAAGGGGCGGCCGAUGGCGGAUUAGGUAGUUGGUGGGGUAAAGGCCUACCAAGCCGACGAUCCGUAGCUGGUCUGAGAGGACGACCAGCCACACUGGGACUGAGACACGGCCCAGACUCCUACGGGAGGCAGCAGUGGGGAAUUUUGGACAAUGGGGGCAACCCUGAUCCAGCAAUGCCGUGUGUGUGAAGAAGGCCUUCGGGUUGUAAAGCACUUUUGUCCGGAAAGAAAUCAUCGGGGCCAAUACCCCUGGUGGAUGACGGUACCGGAAGAAUAAGCACCGGCUAACUACGUGCCAGCAGCCGCGGUAAUACGUAGGGUGCGAGCGUUAAUCGGAAUUACUGGGCGUAAAGCGUGCGCAGGCGGUGCUGUAAGACCGAUGUGAAAUCCCCGGGCUUAACCUGGGAACUGCAUUGGUGACUGCAGCGCUGGAGUAUGGCAGAGGGGGGUGGAAUUCCACGU
RNAcentral lists this ribosomal RNA (576 nucleotides) under uncultured bacterium. Its description in RNAcentral is "bacterial SSU rRNA". It matches the Rfam family "Bacterial small subunit ribosomal RNA", at positions 102 to 674 of the family's 1533-position model. The record is from RNAcentral.